Molecule: long non-coding RNA, 385 nt
Organism: Zingiber officinale
Lineage: Eukaryota; Viridiplantae; Streptophyta; Magnoliopsida; Zingiberales; Zingiberaceae
Exons: 4
Source: RefSeq, a predicted model, not a curated record
UCCCCGAUCCCUUUCCUCUUCCCUGAUCUCGGCGAACAGCAGGUUUGGACCCCCGAAUCCGUUGAUCUUGCUUGCAGUUGGGGGAGAAUCGAGCGUGCCGGGGUUGGAUCAGGCCAGCAUCGCUUGCGUGGAAGAGGUUUUGGCUGAGAAUCAAGGCUUCCGAUCCCUUCUCUGUUCGUUAGCAAGAAACAGGACCGAGCCCUAAUCGAAGGAUUGGAGAGGUGAUAUGGUGAUGUCGGCCACCACAGCUCGGUUGGACUGAUCUCUUCAUCAGAUCUGUGAUUACCUCUGACGAUUGAAGGGUGAAGAGGACCUUGAUCUGGACGAGUUGCGUGACGUGGUGGUUCUGUUGAUUGCGGGAUAUAUCGAGGCGGGUAUUUCUUCC